AGAGUUUGAUCCUGGCUCAGAACGAACGCUGGCGGCGUGCCUAACACAUGCAAGUCGAACGAGAAUUUUCCCUUCGGGGAAAUAGUAAAGUGGCGCAAGGGUGAGUAACACGUGAAUAAUCUGCCUACGAAUUCGGGAUAACGCGGCGAAAGCUGUGCUAAUACCGGAUAAGACCACAUCUCUUAAGGGGUGUGGCCAAAGGAACCUCAAGUUCCGUUUGUAGAUGAGUUCGCGAACCAUUAGCUUGUUGGCGGGAUAAUAGCCCACCAAGGCGACGAUGGUUAGCCGGCCUGAGAGGGUGAUCGGCCACACUGGAACUGAGACACGGUCCAGACUCCUACGGGAGGCAGCAGUGGGGAAUAUUGCGCAAUGGGCGAAAGCCUGACGCAGCAACGCCGCGUGAGGGAUGAAGGAUUUUGGUUCGUAAACCUCUGUCAAAUGGGAAGAAUUCUGACGGUACCAUUAAAGGAAGCCCCGGCUAACUCCGUGCCAGCAGCCGCGGUAAUACGGAGGGGGCAAGCGUUGUUCGGAAUCAUUGGGCGUAAAGAGUAUGUAGGCGGCUAUUUAAGUCAGACGUGUAAGCCCACGGCUCAACCGUGGAAUUGCGUUUGAAACUAUUUAGCUUGAGUUCAGGAGAGGAAGGCGGAAUUCCCAGUGUAGCGGUGAAAUGCAUUGAUAUUGGGAAGAACACCAGUGGCGAAGGCGGCCUUCUGGUCUGAUACUGACGCUGAGAUACGAAAGCCAGGGGAGCGAACGGGAUUAGAUACCCCGGUAGUCCUGGCCGUAAACGAUGGGCACUAGGUGCGGGAGGUAUCGAUCCCUUCCGUGUCGCAGCUAACGCAUUAAGUGCCCCGCCUGGGGAGUACGGUCGCAAGGCUG
Molecule: ribosomal RNA, 879 nt
Filed under: marine metagenome
Description: bacterial SSU rRNA
Rfam family: Bacterial small subunit ribosomal RNA
Source: RNAcentral